CGCGUAGGCGGCUCCAAAAGUCAGGGGUGAAAUCCGGCAGCUUAACUGUCGCAGUGCCUUUGAUACUGUGGAGCUCGAGGGAGGUAGGGGUCUGUGGAACUUCCGGUGGAGCGGUGAAAUGCGUUGAUAUCGGAAGGAACGCCGGUGGCGAAAGCGACGGACUGGAUCUCUUCUGACGCUGAGGCGCGAAAGCCAGGGGAGCAAACGGGAUUAGAUACCCCGGUAGUCCUGGCCCUAAACGAUGGGUACUAGAUUGCGGACUUACAUGGGUUCGCAGUCGAAGCUAAUGUUUUAAGUACCCCGCCUGGGGAGUAUGGUCGCAAGGCUGAA
This 330-nucleotide ribosomal RNA is filed under the name uncultured bacterium. RNAcentral describes it as "bacterial SSU rRNA". It matches the Rfam family "Bacterial small subunit ribosomal RNA", at positions 568 to 898 of the family's 1533-position model. The record is from RNAcentral.